AGCCGCGGUCCCCCCCCCCUGCCCCCCCCCGGGGCUGCCACCGCCCCUCCCCCCUUCCCCCCCCCCCCCCCGCCAAUACCACCCUCCUACCUUUGGGCCCAGGUUCUCCUUUGGGGCCUGGUGUGCCUGGGGGCCCCAUGCUCCCCUGCCUCCCUGAGGGGCCCUCUCUUCCAGCUGGACCAGGCUUACCUGGAGGCCCUGGGGAAAAAGGACCAGCCCAGUCAGUGACAUUGAAUCUCCUUGGAAGUGGGAAUGCAUAAAAGAUGGGGCUGUAAUAGAAGUCAGACAGGCAGCCUCCUCCCAAAGAUGUUGCCCUCACUCGCCGCCCUCCCCAGGAGCUCCAGCCUUCCCUGAAGUAACCCCGAGCCCCCUUGAGAAUGACCUUCCUCCUCCUGGGGCAGAAUCUGUGCGCGCCUACUGCCGUGGCCUAGCGGCAGCACGCCAUCUGCAGACACCUGCAUUCCAUGCCCAGCUGCUCACCAGGUGGUCCAGCGUCUCCCUUUGGUCCAGGUUCCCCAGCAGAGCCAUUGUCUCCUUUCGGCCCAGUGGGGCCAGCUGGUCCUGGCAUUCCUGCUCGUCCUGCAGGUCCUGGUGAACCUGUGGCAGAAAAGAUGGACAUAAAGCUGACCCAGCCUGCUGCCUUCAGGGUCAGGACCCUUGCAUUCUUUCAGGUUUCCGUAGGGUGUGGACACUCCCCCUCCAGGUGUCUGAUCCAGUGGCGAUGUAGGAAAUGCGUGUUCACAUCUCCAUUUUACAGGAGAAGGAACAGGCUUGCAGAACUGGAGGCAGAAACAAAACUAGACCCCCCUGACUUUGCAUACAAUGCACCUGCCCCUGCCCCAAGGCCACGGUAUUUAUGGCAGAAUCUCUCUGUGGAACAUGGCUUUCUGCCUAGCACUGAGCAGGAAGUAAAUGUCAGCACCAGGUCUUGGUCUGCAAGGAAGUUGUCACUGAGUUUUAAACUGUGAGGUACAGGUAAUAAGUGAAGAAAACAGCUUAUGAGAUGUCCCUCAUCCCAUCCCAGCACCCACAACCCUUGGACACACAUGUACUCAUAAGAAACAGGACUUCAUUGCUGAAGAGGAUUCAGAGACCUGGAGAGGAGAGAUGACAUUUCAGAUCUGGAAACCAUUCCCCCAGGGUAAGAAGGGCCAGGCUUGCCUGGG
This 1166-nucleotide long non-coding RNA is filed under the name Ovis aries (sheep). RNAcentral describes it as "lncRNA (ENSOARG00000026410.1)". Lineage: Eukaryota; Metazoa; Chordata; Mammalia; Artiodactyla; Bovidae. The record is from RNAcentral.